AAAGAUCGCCGAAUUCCUGUAUAGGAAACGGGGGAACCACGAGUUAGGGUGAAUUGGCUGCCAUACACGUCAGCCAUAGGGGACCUUCUACCGAACCCGAUAGCUAACCUCGCAGGCGUGGAAGG
This 125-nucleotide small RNA is filed under the name uncultured Xylanibacillus sp. Its description in RNAcentral is "ydaO/yuaA leader". It matches the Rfam family "c-di-AMP riboswitch aptamer (ydaO/yuaA leader)", at positions 11 to 126 of the family's 134-position model. Rfam says of the family: This family represents a conserved RNA structure found upstream of the ydaO and yuaA genes in Bacillus subtilis and related genes in other bacteria. The ydaO/yuaA element is thought to act as a genetic "off" switch for the ydaO and yuaA genes in its native state. It is believed that the element may be triggered during osmotic shock leading to activation of ydaO, a predicted amino acid transporter gene, and members of the yuaA-yubG operon which code for KtrA and KtrB K+ transporters. The record is from RNAcentral. Lineage: Bacteria; Bacillati; Bacillota; Bacilli; Caryophanales; Paenibacillaceae.